Molecule: ribosomal RNA, 478 nt
Filed under: uncultured Pseudomonas sp.
Lineage: Bacteria; Pseudomonadati; Pseudomonadota; Gammaproteobacteria; Pseudomonadales; Pseudomonadaceae
Description: bacterial SSU rRNA
Rfam family: Bacterial small subunit ribosomal RNA
Source: RNAcentral
UCAAUGAAUUGACGGGGCCGCACAAGCGGUGGAGUAUGUGGUUUAAUUCGAUGCAACGCGAAAACCUUACCUGCCCUUGACAUCCUCGGAACUUGUCAGAGAUGACUUGGUGCCUUCGGGAACCGAGAGACAGGUGCUGCAUGGCUGUCGUCAGCCCGUGUCGUGAGAUGUUGGGUUAAGUCCCGUAACGAGCGCAACCCUUGUCCUUAGUUACCAGCACGUUAAGGUGGGCACUCUAAGGAGACUGCCGGUGACAAACCGGAGGAAGGUGGGGAUGACGUCAAGUCAUCAUGGCCCUUACGGCCUGGGCUACACACGUGCUACAAUGGUCGGUACAAAGGGUUGCCAAGCCGCGAGGUGGAGCUAAUCCCAUAAAACCGAUCGUAGUCCGGAUCGCAGUCUGCAACUCGACUGCGUGAAGUCGGAAUCGCUAGUAAUCGUGAAUCAGAAUGUCACGGUGAAUACGUUCCCGGGCCUU